This 146-nucleotide ribosomal RNA is filed under the name uncultured bacterium. RNAcentral describes it as "partial 16S ribosomal RNA". It matches the Rfam family "Bacterial small subunit ribosomal RNA", at positions 1353 to 1500 of the family's 1533-position model. The record is from RNAcentral.
CAUACUGCCGUGAAUACGUUCCCGGGCCUUGUACACACCGCCCGUCACACCAUGAGAGUUGGAAUACCCGAAGCCUGUGAGCUAACUAUACGAGGCAGCAGUCGAAGGUAGAAUCAAUGAUUGGGGUGAAGUCGUAACAAGGUACC